This 482-nucleotide ribosomal RNA is filed under the name uncultured bacterium. Its description in RNAcentral is "partial 16S ribosomal RNA". It matches the Rfam family "Bacterial small subunit ribosomal RNA", at positions 29 to 523 of the family's 1533-position model. The record is from RNAcentral.
AGUGAACGCUGGCGGCGUGCUUAACACAUGCAAGUCGAACGAGCAAAGAGGAGCUUGCUUCUCUGAGCGAGUGGCGAACGGGUGAGUAACGCGUGAGGAACCUGCCUCAAAGAGGGGGACAACAGUUGGAAACGACUGCUAAUACCGCAUAAGCCCACAGGUCGGCAUCGACCAGAGGGAAAAGGAGCAAUCCGCUUUGAGAUGGCCUCGCGUCCGAUUAGCUAGUUGGUGAGGUAAUGGCCCACCAAGGCGACGAUCGGUAGCCGGACUGAGAGGUUGAACGGCCACAUUGGGACUGAGACACGGCCCAGACUCCUACGGGAGGCAGCAGUGGGGAAUAUUGCACAAUGGGGGAAACCCUGAUGCAGCGACGCCGCGUGGAGGAAGAAGGUCUUCGGAUUGUAAACUCCUGUUGUUGAGGAAGAUAAUGACGGUACUCAACAAGGAAGUGACGGCUAACUACGUGCCAGCAGCCGCAGUAA